This is a non-coding RNA of Triticum aestivum (bread wheat), 105 nucleotides long. NCBI's taxonomy places the organism in Eukaryota, Viridiplantae, Streptophyta, Magnoliopsida, Poales, Poaceae. The record is from Rfam.
AAAAUACUCCCUCCGUCCCAAAAUAAGUGACUCAAGUUUGUAUUAAGUUUGUACUAAAGUUAGUACAAAGUUGAGUCACUUAUUUUGGGACGGAGGGAGUAAUAA